This 461-nucleotide ribosomal RNA is filed under the name uncultured Methylomirabilota bacterium. RNAcentral describes it as "bacterial SSU rRNA". It matches the Rfam family "Bacterial small subunit ribosomal RNA", at positions 976 to 1434 of the family's 1533-position model. The record is from RNAcentral. Lineage: Bacteria; Methylomirabilota (SeqCode).
UGGGCUUGACAUCCCACGAACCUUCCCGAAAGGGUUGGGUGCCCGCAAGGGAGCGUGGAGACAGGUGGUGCAUGGCUGUCGUCAGCUCGUGUCGUGAGAUGUUGGGUUAAGUCCCGCAACGAGCGCAACCCUCACCCCUUGUUGCGACCGGGUAAAGCCGAGCACUCUAGGGGAACUGCUAGCGUCAAGCUGGAGGAAGGCGGGGAUGACGUCAAGUCAUCAUGCCCCUUACGCCCUGGGCUACACACGUGCUACAAUGGCCGGUACAAAGGGAUGCAAGACCGCGAGGUGGAGCUAACCCCAAAAAACCGGUCUAAGUUCAGAUUGCAGUCUGCAACUCGACUGCAUGAAGGAGGAAUCGCUAGUAAUCGCGCAUCAGCACGGCGCGGUGAAUACGUUCCCGGGCCUUGUACACACCGCCCGUCACACCACGAAAGCCGGCUGUACUCGAAGUCGCUGAG